AUCAAUUUUUGCAUUUUCAGAUUUAAGUUUAAUCUCACGUAAAAUAUAUAUUUGAGAUCAUUAUUGUAUUUACUACACUGUGAAGUUUACGUUCGUGUUUUUGUGUUUGAAUUGAAGACAAGAUGGUUAUGGCAAUGCAUGGAGCUACACAAGUCUUACAGCACACUCUUCCUUCUGCGGGAGGAAUUAGAGGAUGUGGCAACCCUGCCAAUCCUUUUGGAUUUCAAGUUGUCAACAAUGUAAUCCCCGUUGCCACAAAUACAAGUCAUUUGCCAAUGGAGUCUCCUGUAAUGCAACUUAAUGGUUUUAUUCCGCCACAACCGCCAUGUUCACAACACAUUGUUACGUCACAAUCUCGUCCAUCAAUCUGUGGAACUCCAUCGAAUAUCAGCAUGCAUGAAUUGCCAGACAAGGACGAUGACGCUGUCAAGCUUUUUAUUGGUCAAGUUCCUAAACACUGGACGGAAAGCGAUUUGAGACCAAUUUUUGAGCCGUACGGAGAAAUUUACGAACUGUCUGUUCUGCACGAUAAAUACACAGGAAUGCAUAAAGGAUGUGCGUUCCUCACUUACUGCCAGAAAUCUUCAGCUAUCAAAGCACAGAAUUUUCUUCAUGAACAGAAGACUUUGCCCGGGAUGAACCACCCCAUGCAAGUAAAGCCUGCUGACACUGUGAAUAAAGGAGAAGACAGAAAACUUUUUGUUGGAAUGCUCGGUAAGCGACAAACUGAAGAUGAUGUCAGAAAAAUAUUUGAAAAGUUUGGUCACAUCGAGGAAUGCACUAUUCUCAGAACUCCUGAUGGACAAAGCAAAGGUUGUUCAUUUGUGAAACUGUCAUCCAAUGCUGCUGCCAAAGCUGCCAUUGAAUCUCUGCAUGGAAGUCAAACUAUGCCGGGAGCGUCGUCGAGCAUCGUUGUAAAACUUGCUGACACAGACAAGGAAAGAGCGAUUAGAAAAAUGCAGCAAAUGGCUCAGAACUACGGCUUGAUUAGCCCAGUGACUCUGCAACUUGGACCAUAUGGAACCCCCUUGCCACAGAUGGCUCAACACCCUAUAGUCGCUGCCCCCGGAGUCAUGCCUACUGCUGGUUGGUCUCCUGUUGCCACAGCCCUUACAACUGCCACACAGCUGGGCCAUCUCACCCAUGGAUCUGUAAUGCAAACUGCCAAUGGUCCAACUCAAAUCGCAGGAAUUCCAAGCACUCCGCAAAGUCCUGUUGCAUCCAUCACAACUUUGAAUCUCGUUCCACCACCUAUUGUCUCCCAAGCCAACGGACUGGCAACCCCACAAGAAGCUCUUUAUCCUUUACAGGCCUACCCAGGUACUAGGCUAGCCCCUGUGACCACCGCAAGUGCUCAUAGCAUGAAUGUGCAAAAUGGAUCCCCUGACACUGUCAGUAUUUGUGCAUCUCAAACUCCACCAACCAUGGAGAUGAUGCAGCCACCAAGCUACGCACAACCAUACACAGUUGUGUAUGUGCCACCAGGACAAUACGCUCAAGUACCAGCCCCCCAACACAUUGCUCAGCCCCCACUGACCCCAAUUACACCCACUCAAGCCGCACCAGCUGUCAUCAGCAGCCCGACUGCACCACAGAAAGAAGGUCCGGAAGGUUGCAAUCUUUUCAUUUACCAUCUUCCACAAGAGUUCACGGACGCUGAUCUUGCAAAUGUUUUCCAACCUUUCGGAAAUGUUAUUUCUGCAAAAGUGUUCAUUGAUAGAGCAACGAACCAGAGCAAGUGUUUUGGAUUUGUAAGUUACGACAAUCCAGUCAGUGCUCAGACUGCAAUCCAGACCAUGAACGGAUUCCAGAUCGGAAUGAAAAGACUUAAAGUCCAGUUGAAGAGACCAAAGGAGCAAAGCAGACCAUACUGAUUUAUGAAUUUGUUCCAGUGUAACCACAUUCCAAUAAAUUUAACUAUGUUAAAUUUGAGUUAGUCGGAGAAUAUGCCUCUCUGGUGACAUACAGUGACGAAAAAGUGAAGGCGAGUUAGAGUUCAACUAUGGAAACAUUCCACAACAGUACUACGAAGAAGAAUCAUUCAUCCUCUCGUUAAUCAAUUUUUAUUUCUUUAUUACGACGGUACUUUUAAAUUUCGAAGCUGUCUAUUUUAUUUAUUUCUUGAAUUGACUUGCUAAUAUGAUAUUGUAUACAUUAAUGAAAUGCUUUACAACUUUUUAUGGUUCGUUUUUCUUUCAAGUCUUUUAUCACACCCCUUAGUAAGGUAAGGGUUAAUUUUCAUGGAUUUUAAAUAAUAUAAUUAAAGAAUUUUUCACUUGUACCAUGACACAAUAAUAACCCUUACUUAAUUUGUCAUGUAAUGUCUAAUGAGCCAAUUAGUAUAUGUGUAAGGUCUGGUCCAAAUUCUGCCACUCAGAAUUUUUCACCACUGGGAGUCAGUGGACCACGACUGGCCAGAAUAAUCCUCUUUCAAAAAGAAACACUAUGGAUAGUCAACAGGCCAUGACUUGACAGAAUAAUCCUCUUUCAGAAAUGAACAUUAUUGGUAAUCAACAGACCAUGACUGGCCAGAAUAAUCCUCUUCCAAAAAGUAACACUACUGGGAGUCAAUAGACCAUAACUAGCCAGAAUAUUCUCUUUUCAAAAAUGAACACUAUUGGUAAUCAAUGGACCGUGACUGGCCAGAGUAAUCUUCUUUCAAAUAGGAAUUAGUGGUGAUCAGCAGACCAUAACUGGCCAGAAUAAUUCUGUUCCAAAAGGAAUGUAACAGUUAUGUAGUUUUAUGCUUCAUUGAUUUACUUAUUAGCAUUUGGCAACUAGUGAAGUGAAUAGGAUUUGACUUGUUUCUAUUUUGCUGUUAGGAACCAGACCAUUUAUCCUCUCUUAGGCCCGAAACUGUGUUUUUUAAACUAAAUAUAUCACCUGUUACAUUGAUUAUUGAAUUACAUUUAACAUUUUGCUUUUUAUUGUUGCAAAAAGUUUUCCAAAACUUUGAUGGUACUUUUAUUUUUCAUUUUAUUUGUGAUAACCCAAAUGGUUCUGGAGGUUUCAUACCCAGUUCGGUGCUGUGAUAUUUUAAAUAAGUUGCACAAAAUUGAUGUCGGCCACUGAUAAUUAGUUCAAAUUUUUUGUGACAGCUUUUUUGCACAAAACAUGUUUACUCGUUUUAUUUGGGCAGGCAAAAAUUCUAAUGUGUAUCAAUUUCAAUGCUGCAAAUCAUAUUUAAAUCUCCAUUGAAGCGUGUCGAUGUUAAAUGAAGCGUGAUAUGAUAAAUUGAGUAAAUGAAGCAAGCAUUUGUAUUUCAAUAUUACUCCAUGUAUUUGGAUUGCUGGCUAUUUGGAAUUUAAUGAGAGGCUUCAGCUGUUUUAUCAGCUUUCCUCUCCUCCUGCAUAGAUAUAAAAUCAUUUGACAAAUUUUGACGGGAGAAUCUAAUUAUCUUAUAGGCUUUCCUCUCCCUCGGACCCAAGUAUAAUUGUGAAAUUGUGAAAUAUAAUUGUGAAAAAAAUAUACAAUUUUAUGCUCAAACUAUCUCAAUCAUACAUUAGAAACAGCUAAAGCACUGUCUUUUUUAAAUAAUUGACGUACUCUUCAAAGCCCAUGAAGUCAAUUUUUUUUUUUUUCGAAAUGUACAUAAAUCAUUUUGUUUUUAAUAUUUCUUUCUUUCAACUCAUUUAAUUAUAAAGUUUUUACGCUUGUUUGUUUCUUAUUGCCGCAUGGUACUGAAUCUUAAACACCUGAUAAAAUUUCGUCAUUCCACAAUUUUUUGCUCUUUAAUAUCUAUUUUUUCAAAGACAAUUUACAUAAUGUGAUGUAAUAAUAACUUAGAUUGAUUGUGCUGCAAGGUUCUUAAUUAUCUUCCCAUAUGUCUUUGUUAUGACAUCAUAUGAUGUAAUAAAGGGCUUGUCGUCAUAUAUACAAAAUAUGAUGUACCAAUAAAUUUUCAGGCUUUGAGGGGGAAUUCCCCGUUGACCUUCUCCCAAGUGAGCCAGUUAACUCAAUGUGUGCUAUCUCGGUAAUUAGUUUUCUACUCUGCAACUGAAACGGGAAUUAUCAUCAGCUUUCUUCUCCCAGAGUGAAAUCCCAACAAAUUUAUUGAUGACUUUUUUUGCUCUUUUUACCUAUUAUUUUUAUUCUUUUUUGCUGCUUUGAAUCAUGCUUUUAUGCUUUGUUGCAAGUCUUUGGACCAAAAUCAUUCUAUAAACAGAGUUUUUGUUUUCUUUUCUUAUGGGGCGGACACAAUUUUGCUGCUGUCAACAUUGGUGUAUUGAAUAUUUUCUGAGAUGGGGUAUGAAAAAGUGUUACUUUUCAAUAAAUAAGUCUUCAAAUUUCGAAACAUUAACUUGUUAGCUAUUUCCUUCCUGUAGGCCUCAUUCUAUAAGAUAUAGGGUGUCCAUGAAGUCUUGAGAAUUUUUGAAAUUGCCAGGAAUUUACCGAUACCCUAUAUUGGCCCUCACGGAUGUAAUAAAUGAAGUAAAAAUACUUGAACAAUAAUUAAUUAAAAAACAAUAAACCUGGUGAGAUAUACUGAGAAAUGACUUCAUAACAAUUGAAGUUGUAAACGGACUUUAUCUUGUUAUCAGUCAAGACUUUAUUUCUGAUUUAUUUUUUUUUGACUCUGGUUAUUGGAUAGGAUUUACAUAUUUAUUCCGUUAGGUUGAGGUUAUUGGCCUAUCAAUCUGUUUCCUUUAAUUUUGUUUAGGUUAGGUUGGUUUGGAUUGCCAUAAAACCAGAAUGUAAUAAUAUCUAACGUUUGAUAACCAAGGUAAAAAGCUAAUUAGACUGGGUGGGCCAAGAUCAGGAUUCUGUUAGAACCCUCUUUCCAUGAUAAAUAUCCUGUAUUCACGGAAUCAGAUAAGAUGUCUUGUAGCAAUUCCUAAUGCUGCCUCAAGUCAUUUUGUAUAUAUUGUACAUAUAUUGAAAAUCACACUACAACAUAAAAUAGAGUAAAUUUAAAGCAUUUUCAAGUAUUGCUUGCAACUGGACAAAACGGGCGCCUCUCAGCUUGAAUUUCCAGUUUGUUUUAGAUUAGAUACAACUUGGAAAUCCCAUUAAAAUUUGCUAAAUUUUUCUUGUAGUUUUGACUGUUAUUGCUGUCGCUAAUGAUUAUGAAAUCAUUAUUCAUUUUAAGACAGCUUUGUUCCUAAUUGUGACGUCAGACGUGCAAUUUUUUCACUUUUAAUGAAAAUGACUUUUUUUCUUUUUACCAGUUCGAUCUCGUGUUAAAAUCCAGUAUUUUGCACAAAAAUGGUUUUUGGAUUGUAUAUAUUCAUUUCUUUGAAAUUUUAAAUAUAAGAGCGUACUGGGUAGGCAUUUUUUUGAUUAUAGGAAACAUUUCCUAUUUUUUUCUGCUAAUAAAUAAGAUCGCAAAUA
Styela clava is the source of this 5331-nucleotide non-coding RNA. The record is from RefSeq and is a predicted model, not a curated record. Lineage: Eukaryota; Metazoa; Chordata; Ascidiacea; Stolidobranchia; Styelidae.